RNA transcript from Felis catus (domestic cat), 1367 nucleotides. RefSeq lists it as uncharacterized. Lineage: Eukaryota; Metazoa; Chordata; Mammalia; Carnivora; Felidae. The record is from RefSeq and is a predicted model, not a curated record. The transcript has 6 exons.
GCAGGCAGUUGCCUGCCAGCAACACGAGAUGAUCAUACCACAUAUCGCUAACCUGAGAGAAGAUCCAAAUUCAAAAUCCAAAGUACAGCUUCUACUGGAUGUGCAUCGCUUUCAUAUCAUCUUAAAGUUGAAAACUUGAAAAUCAAGCCAUGGCUAUUUUCACCCUGUUGCAACAUUCUCAGGAUACAUACCCAACUGAAGGGGAUGGAGUGGUAAGCCUGAGAAAAGCUACAGGCCAGGGGCUUAAAGGCUGUCAACUGAGGACAAGGAAGCUCAUGUGGACACUGUGAACACACACAAAAGACAUGAGGUAAUCCCUACACCCAACGUGGGGCUUGAGCUCGCAACCUGGAGAUGAAGAGUAGCAUGCUCCACCAACUGAGCCAGCCAGGCAACCCUGUCUAUGAGAUUUCUUAAGAACAAUAUAAUUUUGUAAUUUGACAAGGACCUGCACCUCUACCUUAUGCAUGCCUUAGUGUAUGUCUUCCUGAUAAGGGACAAGGAGUUAAUGAUUUCUUUGGAGUCUUCCAGCAGAGUAGAUAACAUCUAAGGAGUGACCAGGCAAGAAUGAGCAGAAGGCUGAUUGGUAACACACAUCAUCCAGGGAACCUAUGUUUUGAUACAAGGGAACCUAUAUUUUGAUACAAGAAUAUUUUUCUCUAAGAUGAAUCAUGAUUGACUUCUUCUUUGAUCUCCUACCCUUCUUUCUUACGAAGGCAAAGUUUGGUGUCAAGAAGAACAUAUGAACUUAGUAUGAGGACAGGGAGCCAUCCUCGAGCUUUAUUCCAGCUCUCGAUAUGAUGUGGUUCCAGCUAAAGAUGGUUCCUGUCCUGGUUAGUAGGUCUUGGGAAAGGAAAGGCGAUGGUCGUGGAAGGAAAGAGAGUGCUGAUGGCUGAAAGCACAGGUGGCUGAAAGGGAAUGUAAGGGCUCCUGGGCAGGGAGGAGGCAAAACGUGCAUGACUCACCCUUGCUUGAAAUCUCCCAACCUCUGCUCAUUUCCCUCAGAUGCUGAUAGCACCAGUGACCCAGAAACAUAUGAGGAGCCCAGGGUCCCAUGUCCUCAAGUCUCCUUUCUGUAGUCCUGCAAAUCCUUUCCACCUGAAGUAGCUACCGUCCAUACAAUUGUGUCCAUACAACCACUCUUGUUGAAAGCAGCAUACAAGUCGAUGAUGUGUUGGAUGUCUUCUGUUUGAAGGAAGGAAGGCAGAUAGAUUGGCCUAAAGGCACAGCUGAAAAUUUAUUUUUUUUGCCUCCAUUUCAGCAAUAUCAGUGGUUUUUACAGUCUAGAUUUUUACACAAUUUAUGUUCCUCUGACAGUAAUGGAUAUGCAAUUAGCUAAUCUUUCUUGGAUUGUUGUAAGCUAUUAC